Molecule: long non-coding RNA, 225 nt
Filed under: Elaeis guineensis (African oil palm)
Lineage: Eukaryota; Viridiplantae; Streptophyta; Magnoliopsida; Arecales; Arecaceae
Description: long non-coding RNA (EGUI_LNC063551)
Source: RNAcentral
CUCCACUCCCUGCAACAGAUUUCAUGCAGCUCCACCACUCUCUGGCAAGUCCCGACGAUGGACACCACUCCACUCUCCGCAACGAGCUCCACGUGGCCCUGAAUGACCCCUGACGCCACUACUCUCCGUAACAAACUCCACAUGGCUCUGAGCGGUCCACUACCAGAUGGUUACAGACAUCGCUGUCAGUCAGUUACACCCUCCAUCUAUAAAUAAGGAACCCCC